RNAcentral lists this ribosomal RNA (657 nucleotides) under Triticum aestivum (bread wheat). RNAcentral describes it as "partial small subunit ribosomal RNA". Lineage: Eukaryota; Viridiplantae; Streptophyta; Magnoliopsida; Poales; Poaceae. The record is from RNAcentral.
AUGGAAGACAUGGACAUGCCCCCGUGGUUGAAUCCGGCCUGCUGUUAUUACUUGUUUGUCGUCUAUGUCAUGACCAGGCUGGUAGUGGUACUGCUAGACGGGUUCAUCAUGCGGUUCUGCAGUGUUCUGUUGCUGGCCAUGAUUCUUCCGGUGCUUUUUUGUCGCAGGCGGGUGCGCCUGUGCACCGUAGGAGUACUUCCUGGCGAGCAUCGCGAAGAUGAUCACGGCGAAUGCCCGUGUGCUACGUGCUACCUCGCCCUCGACGCCGCCAAGCACCACCGUGGCAUGGUCGCCGCGUUCCGCGGCAUCGCUUCCUCGUCGUCUUGGCGCCGCAUCGCUUCUUCUCCGCCUUGGCGCCGCACACCAGGAGAACCCGGCGCUGCUGCGUGGGCCGCGCGAGCCAUCCAAAAGGGAGCUCGCCGCACGCAUGAGCAUGAUCCAGGCAUCCAACAGCACGUCCGCCCUGCGGCCACAAAGCGGGGCUCUGUCGCCGCCACCAGGUGCCCGUACCGGGCAGGAGCUGCCUCGAGCCGAUGCCGCAGCUGCUCUGCGGAGCGUGAAGCGCCUGUCGCUGUGCCGGCUAAUCACGCGUACAAGCUGUCCGCCUGGCGGCGGCGCACACCGCCAGCAGUCAGAUUAAAUAUGAUUAGGGGUUAG